This 327-nucleotide ribosomal RNA is filed under the name Triticum aestivum (bread wheat). RNAcentral's name for it is "partial small subunit ribosomal RNA". Lineage: Eukaryota; Viridiplantae; Streptophyta; Magnoliopsida; Poales; Poaceae. The record is from RNAcentral.
AUGGAUGGGGCCGCCCACAUCGCUAGCGACUCCUCGGAGGACGACAGGGCCUCCUCCUCCGCGUCCUCUACCGGUUCGGCCUCCUGGCGCUCCCAGCUGCACAAGUGGAUUCACCUGCGGCGGCGCCGGCGCCGGCGCCCGUUGUCCGCUCGGAGAGGAGAGGGCGGUGAAGCCAACGGCAAGGGCGACGGUGACGACGUGCAGGACCUCGCGCUGCCGCUGGGGAGAUGUCCUUCGCGGCGGUUCUCGCCCAGUACAUGCCUUUGGAAAACCAUGGCCAGUGUUGUUUCCACCGGACCGGGUCCUCUCUCCGCUGUUCUGAUCUAA